RNAcentral lists this ribosomal RNA (441 nucleotides) under uncultured bacterium. Its description in RNAcentral is "partial 16S ribosomal RNA". It matches the Rfam family "Bacterial small subunit ribosomal RNA", at positions 338 to 795 of the family's 1533-position model. The record is from RNAcentral.
CCUACGGGUGGCAGCAGUGGGGAAUAUUGCACAAUGGGGGAAACCCUGAUGCAGCAACGCCGCGUGAGGGAUGAAGGUUUUCGGAUUGUAAAGCUCUGUUAGCAGGGAAGAGGGAGGACGGUGCCUGCAGAGGAAGCCACGACUGACUACGUACCAGCAGCCGCGGUAAUACGUAGGUGGCAAGCUGUGUUCGUAAUAACUGGGCGUAAAGGAUGCGGAGGCUGUUAGACAAGUUAUAGGUUAAAUAGAUAGGCUUAACCUGUAGAAAGCAUAUAAAACUGUUUAACUAGAGUGCAGGAGAGGUAAGUGGAAUUCCUAGUGUAGCGGUGAAAUGCGUAGAGAUUAGGAAGAACACCAGUGGCGAAGGCGACUUACUGGACUGUAACUGACGCUGAGGCAUGAGAGCAUGGGGAGCAAACAGGAUUAGAUACCCUGGUAGUC